RNAcentral lists this non-coding RNA (104 nucleotides) under Yersinia ruckeri. Lineage: Bacteria; Pseudomonadati; Pseudomonadota; Gammaproteobacteria; Enterobacterales; Yersiniaceae. The record is from RNAcentral.
AGAUUAAUGACAAAGUACUUGCGGCGGUGAGAACCGGCAGAUCGCCAAGACGUCGUUAAUACCUUCUUAUCGGCUCGUUUUGCGCCACCCCAGGCGCGGACACC